This 64-nucleotide transfer RNA is filed under the name Tenerus flavicollis. RNAcentral's name for it is "tRNA-Thr". It matches the Rfam family "tRNA". Rfam says of the family: Transfer RNA (tRNA) molecules are approximately 80 nucleotides in length. Their secondary structure includes four short double-helical elements and three loops (D, anti-codon, and T loops). The record is from RNAcentral. Lineage: Eukaryota; Metazoa; Arthropoda; Insecta; Coleoptera; Cleridae.
GUUUUAAUAAUUUAAUAAAAAUGUUGGUCUUGUAAACCAAAAAUAAGAAAUAUCUUUUAAAACU